GCCGGCUCCUGGAAGUUGAGAGGGGGGCGACGGUGACGUGGUAGCUGCCACUGCGGCCGCCGCGGGACAAUAAGCCAGGAUCUGCCAUACCUAUUGAUUAACUAUGGAAGAUUAUACCAAAAUAGAGAAAAUUGGAGAAGGUACCUAUGGAGUUGUGUAUAAGGGUAGACACAAAACUACAGGCCAAGUGGUAGCCAUGAAGAAAAUCAGACUAGAAAGUGAAGAGGAAGGGGUUCCUAGUACUGCAAUUCGGGAAAUUUCUCUAUUAAAAGAACUUCGUCAUCCAAAUAUAGAGCUAGGAGACUGCAUCGAGUCGGAACAGGUCAUUAAGCUGAAGCAAAAGUUCACUGAAGCAAAGGCACCUAUUGUUUAUCUCGCAAAAUAA
This is a non-coding RNA of Microcebus murinus (gray mouse lemur), 385 nucleotides long. NCBI's taxonomy places the organism in Eukaryota, Metazoa, Chordata, Mammalia, Primates, Cheirogaleidae. The record is from RefSeq and is a predicted model, not a curated record.